Molecule: ribosomal RNA, 287 nt
Filed under: Geobacillus stearothermophilus
Lineage: Bacteria; Bacillati; Bacillota; Bacilli; Caryophanales; Anoxybacillaceae
Description: partial 16S ribosomal RNA
Rfam family: Bacterial small subunit ribosomal RNA
Source: RNAcentral
CGCGAGGGGGAGCGAAUCCCAAAAAGCCGCUCUCAGUUCGGAUUGCAGGCUGCAACUCGCCUGCAUGAAGCCGGAAUCGCUAGUAAUCGCGGAUCAGCAUGCCGCGGUGAAUACGUUCCCGGGCCUUGUACACACCGCCCGUCACACCACGAGAGCUUGCAACACCCGAAGUCGGUGAGGUAACCCGCAAGGGAGCCAGCCGCCGAAGGUGGGGUAAGUGAUUGGGGUGAAGUCGUAACAAGGUAGCCGUACCGGAAGGUGCGGCUGGAUCACCUCCUUUCUAAGGA